CGGUCACAAAGGCUACGCGAGUCUUUGUGGAAAGGCUGCGCGAGUCUUUUCAGCUUUUGGAAAAAGCAUAUGGAAAGGUUUCACCCUGAAGUCUGUGUUGACGCGCAGGCAGUUUCCCUUAUUGUGCAGAGAGAACGAUUGAUGCAGCCUUACCACUGACUGGUAGGAAUCAUCAAGAAUUUAGAAUUAGAAGUUUAUGAAGUCAUUGUGUAUUGCUGUCGCUAUUGGUGAUAUUGGUGUUUCUUAGAUCACAGCUUCAAAACUAAGAUAUAUAAUGACGGGUAUAUAUAUAUAUAGAGAGAGAGAUAAUAAAGGUAAAAAUAUUUGCUAACGGAAAGAGUCAACCAACAAAGAUCACUCCAACAGCAAGACGUGUAAUAGUCCACAAGGUCACAAAGGAACCCAGGAAAUGUUGUGGAAGAACCUGAAGCAAGCAGUUCAUGUGAGGAAACCCACCAACAUCCCAGAGCUGAAGCUGUUCUAGACUGAGGAACGGGCUAAAUUUUCUCCAAGCCGAUAUGCAGGACUGAUCAACAAUCACGCUCGUUGAAAUCACUAAUGACCAAACGCUGAUGUUGACAAAGACUGAGUACGAUCCCCAUGAUGUCCAACCUGACUUGUAUCCUAAACCCGACUGGGUAUCAGAUCCUCCCAGCGACACUGACGAUGACGACCCAUUGACAACCAUUUCACACCUAUUGUAAAUAUUCCUUUGACCAGGACGACUCUCAUUUCACUCUAAAAUAAGCUUGAUUGACUACAGGAUACUUUAUAUCCGCCUAAGAAAGCCAUGCCUUGUCACUUAGAUCAGUACAGAAUGUUUAUCUGCUUACAGAGAGACAAACACGUUCUUCUGCUCAUCUUCUAAGAGCCUAAAACAAAACAUGUUUGAACUGCCUCAAACUGCUUCUUAUCGGUACACAGAAGUGUGUCAUGCUCUGCGUUAUAUAUAUAUAGUAGUGGUUCAGCACAAGCGCUUCAGAGCACUCUCAUUAUUCUAUCCUGCUUUAUUCUAUCCUGUAUUAACCAUCUUUCUGUAAUAAACCUGUUUUUACCUUCA
Ictalurus furcatus (blue catfish) is the source of this 1060-nucleotide long non-coding RNA. RefSeq lists it as uncharacterized. NCBI's taxonomy places the organism in Eukaryota, Metazoa, Chordata, Actinopteri, Siluriformes, Ictaluridae. The record is from RefSeq and is a predicted model, not a curated record. The transcript is spliced from 2 exons.